RNAcentral lists this ribosomal RNA (220 nucleotides) under uncultured Staphylococcus sp. RNAcentral's name for it is "partial 16S ribosomal RNA". It matches the Rfam family "Bacterial small subunit ribosomal RNA", at positions 143 to 354 of the family's 1533-position model. Lineage: Bacteria; Bacillati; Bacillota; Bacilli; Caryophanales; Staphylococcaceae. The record is from RNAcentral.
UAAACUUCGGGAAACCGGAGCUAAUACCGGAUUAAUAUUUCGAACCGCAUGGUUCGAUAGUGAAAGGUGGUUUUGCUAUCACUUAUAGAUGGACCCGCGCCGUAUUAGCUAGUUGGUAAGGUAACGGCUUACCAAGGCGACGAUACGUAGCCGACCUGAGAGGGUGAUCGGCCACACUGGAACUGAGACACGGUCCAGACUCCUACGGGAGGCAGCAGGG